AAACAUCCUUAUAGACACAAUCUUCGAAGGUAUUCUCAAUCAUUUCUAGAGCAAAAGUUCCUGGAAGUGAAUUUUCUGAUCAAAGAAUAAUCUUACAGAUUUAAGAAAAUGAUUAAUGAAAUGAUGGGUAUAGGGUAUUUCGUACAGUGCUUAAGGUGUGUAUUGUGUGGGUGUUUGCAUGUAUGCAUGCAUGCUAAAAACUCUAAUAAUGGUAGCUGUUGUUCUCUAUAUUAUUAAAUUGGUUAGCAGACUAUUGCUGUAUUAUCUGUAUUGGUAACUUUAUUCUAGGGGAUGAAAUUUUGUAGUUUUUAAAAUUAUUGUUAGGAAGAGUAUAAUGGCAGGUUGAAUAUUGUAAGUCUGAGUGCUCACAAAGCCUAAAUUCUCUUGUCCUGUUCUUUAUGUUCUUUAGUGCCACUUACUUUUGGUUCUUUGUCCUUAUAUAGUCCUGGGCAAAGAGAAAAGACUGGCUCUAAUGCUGUGGUUCUUUCGUCAUCAGUAACUUUACAAACAGUUUGAAUGUUGGGAGAAAGUGGUUUCGGAUUCGAAGAAUUUGGGGGGUUACGUGUGCAUUUUACUUACCCUUUAAGGAUCUGCAGGUCCCUGAGCAGUGUCUGUGUGUGUCCUGAACACCCUCCUGUCACUGCGUGGCUCCGAGCUGGCUCCCAGAGGACAGAGCUGUCCAUCAAAGCCAGGCAGGCUUCGGCUCAGGUCUUCAGAUGAGACCGUAUCCUACAGUUCAGACUACUGAGCAAGGGUUUAUUGUGUUUUUGCCAUGAGCAAAAUGGGACCAAACAUUAUGUGUUUGAGAAGACUUUGCCCAUGGAAAAGCCAUGCAAGAAUUGGGCACUGUGGCACACACCUGUAAAAUCAGCUAUAGUAUGUGGGAGGCUGAGGCAGGAGAAUGGCAAGGCCCAGGCGAGUCUGGGCAACUAAAGAUGAAAAUAAAUAAAAGGGGCUGGAGAUGUAGCAAGUGAGCAAAGGUAAUUCAUGACCAAGGGCCCAAAUGAGGUACACAGAAGGGCCAAUGUGAAUUUUAAGUGCUCCUGGGGAUGGGAAGUAGAAAACACAACAAAACAAAACAGUACGUGUCACUUUUCAAGAGCAGAGGUCAGGUUAGAAAAGCAGAUGAAGAAAUGGCAUCAGGUAGACUCAGAUUAAAAACAAAGGUGACCUAAAAUUAAAUUGAGGACCGUCCCCUGGGGAACUGGCAUGGGUGGCAUGCUUUCUCAGGGAGAUCAUCCCCUCAGUGUGCAGAUGGGGCUGGGAAGGCAGCAACAAGUAGAGAAGAUAAGUAACAAGUCAAUGUGUUUGUCAGUUCUUAGAAAGUUAUUUCCUACAAGCUUUCCUAUGAGCCAACACUUAGGGAUGGGAAUAGGCUUGCAAGGAGAAGGUAGGGACA
Molecule: long non-coding RNA, 1399 nt
Filed under: Fukomys damarensis (Damara mole-rat)
Lineage: Eukaryota; Metazoa; Chordata; Mammalia; Rodentia; Bathyergidae
Description: lncRNA (ENSFDAG00000021623.1)
Source: RNAcentral